RNAcentral lists this unclassified non-coding RNA (351 nucleotides) under Hevea brasiliensis (rubber tree). Lineage: Eukaryota; Viridiplantae; Streptophyta; Magnoliopsida; Malpighiales; Euphorbiaceae. The record is from RNAcentral.
GCGGCAUAUCGUCGGCGUGCUACUCAGGAAAUGCAGCUAUCACGUGACUGCUGUGGCGGACGGGCUUAAGGCUUGGGAGGUGAUGAAGGAGAGGCAGUAUAAUGUUGAUCUGGUGCUGACGGAGGUGGAGAUGCCUUUGAUGUCGGGGAUCGUGUUGCUUGCGAAGAUAGCAGCGGCGGAGGAGUGCAGGAACAUUCCUGUCAUCAUGAUGUCUUCCCAGGACUCCAUUGGUGUAGUGCUAAAAUGCAUGCUCAAGGGUGCUGCAGAUUUUCUUGUCAAGCCGGUUAGAAAGAAUGAGUUGCGGAAUUUAUGGCAGCAUGUCUGGCGGAAGCAUUGUUCAGGCAGCUAUGC